GCUCGUGUCGUGAGAUGUUCGGUUAAGUCCGCUAACGAGCGCAACCCUCGCUGUGUGUUAUAUGUGUCACACGGGACUGCCGGUCUUAAGCCGGAGGAAGGUGGGGAUGAAUGGUCAAGUCAGCAUGGCCCUUUAUAUCCUGGGCUACACACACGCUACAAUGGCCAACACAAUAGGUUGCUAAGCCGCGAGGUGGCGCCAAUCCCAUAAAGUUGGUCUCAGUUCAGAUUGUAGGCUGCAACCCGCCUGCAUGAAGAUGGAGUUGCUAGUAACCGCAGGUCAGCUAUACUGCGGUGAAUACGUUCCCGGGGCUU
This 314-nucleotide ribosomal RNA is filed under the name uncultured Leptolinea sp. Its description in RNAcentral is "bacterial SSU rRNA". It matches the Rfam family "Bacterial small subunit ribosomal RNA", at positions 1058 to 1382 of the family's 1533-position model. Lineage: Bacteria; Bacillati; Chloroflexota; Anaerolineae; Anaerolineales; Anaerolineaceae. The record is from RNAcentral.